This 465-nucleotide ribosomal RNA is filed under the name uncultured bacterium. RNAcentral's name for it is "partial 16S ribosomal RNA". It matches the Rfam family "Bacterial small subunit ribosomal RNA", at positions 28 to 507 of the family's 1533-position model. The record is from RNAcentral.
AAUGAACGUUGGCGGCGUGGAUUAGGCAUGCAAGUCGAGCGAGAACCCCGCAAGGGGGGGCCGCGGCGGAAGGGGAAGGAAUGUGGAGGUUAUCUGCCCUCCGGGUCGGGAUUGCCGCGGGGAACUGCCGGGAAAAACUGAUAACAAUACCGGAUCCAAGGUGUGGUUCCGGCCGGGGGAUAGUCUGCCGUCUAUUAGCUAGUUGGGGGGGUAAUGGCCUACCAAGGCAUUGGUGGGUAGCAGGAGUGAGGGCACGACCCGCGUCAGUGGGACUGAGACACUGCCCAGCCACCUACGGGUGGCUGCGGGCGAGAAUCGUCGGCAAUGGGCGCAAGCCUGACCGAGCGACGCCGCGUGUGGGAUGAAGGCCUUCGGGUUGUAACCCACUGUCAGGGGGGAUGAAAUGCAGGUGGGUUCUCCCAUCUGUUUGACAUAGCCUCAGAGGAAGGACGGGCUAAGUUCGUG